This 253-nucleotide ribosomal RNA is filed under the name uncultured bacterium. RNAcentral describes it as "partial 16S ribosomal RNA". It matches the Rfam family "Bacterial small subunit ribosomal RNA", at positions 524 to 776 of the family's 1533-position model. The record is from RNAcentral.
UACGAAGGGGGCUAGCGUUGCUCGGAAUCACUGGGCGUAAAGGGCGCGUAGGCGGCCGAUCAAGUCGGGGGUGAAAGCCUGUGGCUCAACCACAGAAUUGCCUUCGAUACUGUCUGGCUAGAGACCGGAAGAGGUUAGUGGAACUGCGAGUGUAGAGGUGAAAUUCGUAGAUAUUCGCAAGAACACCAGUGGCGAAGGCGGCUAACUGGUCCGGUUCUGACGCUGAGGCGCGAAAGCGUGGGGAGCAAACAGG